UACGUAGGGUGCGAGCGUUAAUCGGAAUUACUGGGCGUAAAGCGCACGUAGGCGGCUUUGUAAGUUAGAGGUGAAAGCCUGGUGCUCAACACCAGAACUGCCUUUAAGACUGCAUCGCUUGAAUCAUGGAGAGGCGGGUGGAAUUCCGAGUGUAGAGGUGAAAUUCGUAGAUAUUCGGAAGAACACCAGUGGCGAAGGCGGCCCGCUGGACAUGUAUUGACGCUGAGGUGCGAAAGCGUGGGGAGCAAACAGG
Molecule: ribosomal RNA, 253 nt
Filed under: uncultured bacterium
Lineage: Bacteria
Description: partial 16S ribosomal RNA
Rfam family: Bacterial small subunit ribosomal RNA
Source: RNAcentral